CAAGUAGGCGGUCUAUUAAGUGAGGGGUGAAAUCCUGCGACUCAAUCGCAGAACUGCCUUUCAAACUGGUAGACUUGAGUCUGAAAGAGGGAAACGGAAUUAGCAGUGUAAGGGUGAAAUCUGUAGAUAUUGCUAAGAACACCGGCGGCGAAGGCGGUUUCCUGGUUCAGAUCUGACGCUAAAUUGCGAAAGCUAGGGGAGCAAACAGGAUUAGAUACCCUGGUAGUCC
RNAcentral lists this ribosomal RNA (229 nucleotides) under uncultured bacterium. Its description in RNAcentral is "partial 16S ribosomal RNA". It matches the Rfam family "Bacterial small subunit ribosomal RNA", at positions 568 to 796 of the family's 1533-position model. The record is from RNAcentral.